This is a non-coding RNA of Oryza barthii, 203 nucleotides long. NCBI's taxonomy places the organism in Eukaryota, Viridiplantae, Streptophyta, Magnoliopsida, Poales, Poaceae. The record is from Rfam.
AAAAAGACAAACCGUGGGUUCCCGUGCCAACGUUUGACUGUCCAUCUUUAUGAUUUUUUUUAUAAUUAGUAUUUUUAUUGUUGUUAGAUGAUAAAACAUGAUUAAUACUUUAUGCGUGACUUAUCUUUUUAAUUUUUUUCAUAAUUUUUUUAAAUAAGACGGACGGUCAAACGUUGGACACAGAAAGCAGGGUUUGUCUUUUU